This is a long non-coding RNA of Solanum pennellii, 2029 nucleotides long. RefSeq lists it as uncharacterized. Lineage: Eukaryota; Viridiplantae; Streptophyta; Magnoliopsida; Solanales; Solanaceae. The record is from RefSeq and is a predicted model, not a curated record. The transcript has 2 exons.
CGAAAAUUUCUAGAAGCUCUCUCUCCAUGCAUCUUUUGUACAUGAAUAAUCAAUAAAUAAAAGCUUGUUUAUUAAUGGAAAAAUCUACAAUAAACUUCAAGAAAUGGGCAUGAAUAUUACAACCUACAAAUGGAAAAUGCUACCGAUAAGCAAGCAGCUAACAGGUUAGUUGUACAUUUUACAAGUACUCUUAGAAAUUGGUGGGACAAUUAUCUCACAGAACGAAAUAGAAAUGAAAUUCUUGAUACUGUAUCAAACAAGAGUAUUGUUAAGACUGAAGGAUGACAGACCUCCACGACUGUAGAAGUGGUUGAGGAUGAAACCGCUACUCUACUCUACAACAUUGCUAAACAUUUUGUGGGAGAACCAUGACUUUUCCAAGAUAGAAGUUUAGAAAUAUUAAACAAUCUAUACUGUACGAAAUUAACUUAUUUCAGGUGGUAUAAAGAUAUGUUUAUAACUAAGGUCAUGCUAAGAGAUGACUGCAAUAAUGAUUAUUGGAAAGAACGUUUCCUUAGUGGAUUACCCCCUCAUUUUGAUGAAAAAGUCAGAUCCAAAAAUAAGAGAUCGAUGUGAUGGUAAAAUCCCCUACCCCCAUCUUACUUAUGGUGAUCUUACUAGUUUGAUUCAUUUUGUAGCUAUGGAGCUUUGUACAGAUAUUAAGCUAAAAAACAAAUUUAAAAAGAUAAAAAUCUUCAGCUAACGAACUUUGCAGCUUUUGCCAACACUUCGUAUUUCCAUGUUUACAACAACCUUCAGCAAUAAUGGUUUCAAAAAAAGAACGAUCUGGAGAUUCGCACCAUCGUAAGAAAUCCUCUCGAAGGAAAGUUCGUUCGAAAGAAAAAAGAAGUAGGAAAACUUCUAACAACAGUUCUAAAGAGGGAAAGUUUUGGACAUGUGGAAAAACAGGUCACAAGUCUCCUGACUGUCCAAGAAACAAAAAGAAGAAGAAGAAAAUCAAUCUUCUUGAAGUAGACCAAGAAACUAAAAACAAAUUUCUUUAGAUUUUUGAAGAAGAAGAAUCAGGAUCAGAUUCUGAUUCCUCUUCAUAUGAAAAACUGAGGAUGAAGAAUUUCUUAAUGUUGCCCAGAACUCUGAAGAUAGUGGUCAAGAAUGCAAUUGCCAAGGAGCAUUUUACCAUUGUGACGACCAAUCUAUUCGAGUCCUCUCUGAAGAUUCUGUAUAAGUCUUGUUCGCAAAUAUUGAGCAUAUCAAUGACGAUGAAGCUCGAAGAAGCUAUUUUUUCGAACUUCAAAAGCUUGUCAUCAAACAAAAGGACAAGGAAGUUGAAUAAGUGUAACUCCUUUUAGCAUGAAACAAAUCAUGCAGCGAUAUAUAUAUAAGAAGGAAGAAUUUUCAAUAAAUAAACUACGUACAGAAGUCAAUCUUCUUAAAGAAAAGGAAAAGGAAGUUACAACAAGUGUAACUCCUUUUAGCAUGAAACAAAAGCUUGUCAUCAAACAAAAGGAAAAGGAAGUUACAACAAGUGUAACUCCUUUUAGCAUGAAACAAAUCAUGAAGCGAUAUACAUAUAAGAAGGAAGAACCUUCUAUAAAUGAACUACGUGCAGAAGUCAAUCUUCUUAACUAAGAAGAAAGAGAAGUGAAGUCAUGACUCAACAAGAUUUAAAUAGAUAGUUUGGCAGCACAAUUUUUAAAGGAUGUUGCCAUAUCAUCUAAAGGAAAAGAACCUGUUACCUCGGUUGAUGAAGAGGAAAUUCUAAUGAUUCUCAGUAUACUCCUUUAUCACCCAAAGGUAAUGAUGAUGCAGGUAUUAGUCUAAUAACAAAAGUGAGACCCCAGAGCUCUCAUAUUAUGAUUAAAUUAGUGAUAAAUAAUAAUUUUGUACUUAACAAAAUUUCUUUGUAAGACAACGAUGCAAAUAGAAACUGCAUAGUUAAAGGUUUGAUUCCUACAAAGUACCUUUAGAAGGGAACUACUAAGUUAUACAGCGCGACUGCUGAGCGUAUCUGUAUAAAUUAUAAACUUUCAAAUGCUCAUAUAUGGAAUGACGGUAUAUGCCUUGCUAA